GACGAACGCUGGCGGCGUGCUUAACACAUGCAAGUCGAACGGAAAGGCCCUGCUUUUGUGGGGUGCUCGAGUGGCGAACGGGUGAGUAACACGUGAGUAACCUGCCCUUGACUUUGGGAUAACUUCAGGAAACUGGGGCUAAUACCGGAUAGGAGCUCCUGCUGCAUGGUGGGGGUUGGAAAGUUUCGGCGGUUGGGGAUGGACUCGCGGCUUAUCAGCUUGUUGGUGGGGUAGUGGCUUACCAAGGCUUUGACGGGUAGCCGGCCUGAGAGGGUGACCGGCCACAUUGGGCCUGAGAUACGGCCCGGACUCCUCCGGGAGGCAGCAGUGGGGAAUAUUGCACGAUGGGCGGGAGCCUGAUGCAGCAACGCCGCGUGCGGGAUGACGGCCUUCGGGUUGUAAACCGCUUUCGCCUGUGACGAAGCGUGAGUGACGGUAAUGGGUAAAGAAGCACCGGCUAACUACGUG
RNAcentral lists this ribosomal RNA (468 nucleotides) under uncultured bacterium. Its description in RNAcentral is "partial 16S ribosomal RNA". It matches the Rfam family "Bacterial small subunit ribosomal RNA", at positions 28 to 507 of the family's 1533-position model. The record is from RNAcentral.